RNAcentral lists this ribosomal RNA (730 nucleotides) under uncultured bacterium. Its description in RNAcentral is "bacterial SSU rRNA". It matches the Rfam family "Bacterial small subunit ribosomal RNA", at positions 8 to 730 of the family's 1533-position model. The record is from RNAcentral.
AGAGUUUGAUCCUGGCUCAGGAUGAACGCUGGCGGCAUGCCUAAUACAUGCAAGUCGAACGAGGAUCCUUCGGGAUCCUAGUGGCGAACGGGUGAGUAACACGUAGGGAACCUGCCCGCGCACCGGGAAUACGCUCUGGAAACGGAGAACAAAUCCCGAUGUACAGGAAGGAGGCAUCUUCUUUCUGUGAAACAUCCAGUAAGGGAUGGGGCGCGGAUGGACCUGCGGUGCAUUAGUUAGUUGGCGAGGGUAAAGGCCCACCAAGACGAUGAUGCAUAGCCGGCCUGAGAGGGCGGACGGCCACAUUGGGACUGAGACACGGCCCAGACUCCUGCGGGAGGCAGCAGUAGGGAAUUUUCGUCAAUGGGCGCAAGCCUGAACGAGCGAUGCCGCGUGAGUGAAGAAGGCCUUCGGGUCGUAAAGCUCUGUUGCGGGGGAAAAAAGGCAUCUGCAGGAAAUGGUAGAUGACAGAUGGUGCCCCGCCAGAAAGUCACGGCUAACUACGUGCCAGCAGCCGCGGUAAUACGUAGGUGGCGAGCGUUAUCCGGAAUGAUUGGGCGUAAAGGGUGCGCAGGCGGUCCUGCAAGUCUGGAGUGAAACGUAUGAGCUCAACUCAUGCAUGGCUCUGGAAACUGGAGGACUGGAGAGCAGGAGAGGGCGGUGGAACUCCAUGUGUAGCGGUAAAAUGCGUAGAUAUAUGGAAGAACACCAGUGGCGAAGGCGGCCGCCU